UACGAGGGGGGCAAAUGUUGUUCGGAAUCACUGGGCGUAAAGGGAGCGUAGGCGGGCUUCUAAGUUAGAUGUUUAAUCCCGGGGCCCAACCCCGGACAGGCACCUAAAACUGGAAGUCUUGAAUAGUGGAGAGAACGGCGGAAUUGGGGGUGUAGCGGUGGAAUGCGUAGAGAUCCCCAAGAACACCAGUUGCGAAGGCGGCCGUCUGGACACAUAUUGACGCUGAGGCUCGAAAGCAUGGGGAGCAAACAGG
RNAcentral lists this ribosomal RNA (253 nucleotides) under uncultured bacterium. RNAcentral describes it as "partial 16S ribosomal RNA". It matches the Rfam family "Bacterial small subunit ribosomal RNA", at positions 524 to 776 of the family's 1533-position model. The record is from RNAcentral.